UACGAAGGGGGCUAGCGUUGUUCGGAAUUACUGGGCGUAAAGCGUGCGCAGGCGGCUUCUCAAGUCAGGGGUGAAAGCCCAGAGCUCAACUCUGGAAUUGCCUUUGAGACUGAGUGGCUUGAGUACGAGAGAGGUGAGUGGAAUUCCCAGUGUAGAGGUGAAAUUCGUAGAUAUUCGCAAGAACACCAGUGGCGAAGGCGGCUCACUGGCCCGGUACUGACGCUGAGGUGCGAAAGCGUGGGGAUCAAACAGG
This 253-nucleotide ribosomal RNA is filed under the name uncultured bacterium. Its description in RNAcentral is "partial 16S ribosomal RNA". It matches the Rfam family "Bacterial small subunit ribosomal RNA", at positions 524 to 776 of the family's 1533-position model. The record is from RNAcentral.